GUUAAACACAUGAGCCUGUGGGGAGCAUUUCAGAUCCAAUUCAUAAUGGUAGCACAUUUAAACUACAAAUACAUGGAUACACAUGCACAGGACUAUACUUAUACUUUAUUUUCCAGGUCUCUCUUACUCUAAUGUCUGAGGCAUCAGGAGUACUCAACACAUGGUUAUUGAGUGAAGAAAGUAGAUUUAAACAACUUUUCUCGUGAAUUAAUAUACAAUAUUCUAUUUAACAUGUUAUACUGUGUUACAUCAUAUGAAAUUAGAACCUGGAUUGGAUUGUUUCUGGGUCCUUUCUAGUCAACUUUCUAUAGCUUCAUGAGUCUUUUCUUCAUUUGCUAGGAAUGGAAACUCACUCCUUUCUUCCUUGAUUGUUACCUCUGCAGGAUGCAUACAAAGGUUGCUGGGCAACAGGUCCCUUGGAUGUCUCAGGUUAUUUGUGGAUCCUGAUGCUUGAUGACAGAAAUGGAGGUGGAUGUUGAUGGAAGGGACAUCUCACAGCUUCUGGUUCUUUGGUUUCAUGCCAACUUCAGGGAUGCCUUGAUGAGGAAAAUGAGGCUGUGAAGGUUAUAUCAAGUUCACACACAAAGCUGUUGAACAGAAACAAGGGCAAGGGGAUGCUGGAAGCAAGGGAUAAGCCAAGUGUCGAAGCAUCCUCAGGGAUUUGGAAUGAGAGGGGCCACCGAGGUGUCCGCCAUUUUCUCUGAUUCUGGAUUGGAGUGUUUAUUGCAGUUCUCUGGUGUCCUUUAAGAGCACCAGGAGCAGGCCGUUUUACUUUCUAGAUCUGCAGACCGAGGGUGGAAGUAAGAACUUUUUCAUUCUUCUUUGAGGUUUCAAAAGCCAACACCAUUCCCACUUAGUGCUCUCUGCCUCCUGUUUGUGGUUGGAGAUGUCAGCUCUCAGCUGUUCCUGCUACAAUGCCUUUGUUCCUCCAUGAUGGACUCCAACCCUCUGAAACUAUUUUCCAGUCUGAAUUCUCUGCUUCAGUUGUUCUUAUCCCAAUUUGCCUCACAGAAGCCUUCGUGCAUGCUGUGCUUUAUCCCUGUUUUGCAGUUAAACCCCUUAUUCCUGUGUCAGUUCUUGGAAGAACAAGUCAUGUUUGGGAAUUAUCUACAUGUUUUCUGGUGAUCACCUGUGUUAGUUAUUCAGCUGUGCCCAAAUGCAAAGAAACCUGGCAACAAAACUCCCAAACCAAAGCAACCAACCAAACAAAACAUCCUGAAAAAAUAAACUUGAAGGAAGAAAGA
Peromyscus maniculatus bairdii (prairie deer mouse) is the source of this 1244-nucleotide non-coding RNA. The record is from RefSeq and is a predicted model, not a curated record. Lineage: Eukaryota; Metazoa; Chordata; Mammalia; Rodentia; Cricetidae.